GUGCAAUUGCACCGUCUGGGGAUGAGCCUGCGGUCCAUUAGUUAGUUGGCGGGGUAACGGCCCACCAAGACGACGAUGGAUAGCCGGCCUGAGAGGGUGUACGGCCACACUGCAACUGAGACACGGUCCAGACUCCUACGGGAGGCAGCAGCUAAGAAUCUUCCGCAAUGGGGGAAACCCUGACGGAGCGACGCCGCGUGGAUGAUGAAGGCCGUAAGGUUGUAAAAUCCUUUUGUCGGUGAAGAAUAAGGAGGGGAGUGGAAAGCCUCUCUGAUGACGUUAGCCGACGAAUAAGCCCCGGCUAAUUACGUGCCAGCAGCCGCGGUAAUACGUAUGGGGCAAGCGUUGUUCGGAUUUAUUGGGCGUAAAGGGCGUGUAGGCGGCUCAUCAAGUCUGGUGUGAAAAUGCAGGGCCCAACCCUGCAAAUGCGCUGGAAACUGGUGGGCUUGAGUUCUUGAGGGGAAGCUGGAAUUCCAGGUGUAGGGGUGAAAUCUGUAGAUAUCUGGAAGAACACCGGUGGCGAAGGCGAGCUUCUAUCAGAGGACUGACGCUGAGGCGCGAAAGCGUGGGGAGCAAACAGGAUUAGAUACCCUGGUAGUCCACGCUGUAAACGAUGUGCACUAGGCGUGGGGCCCGUACGGGUUCUGUGCCGUAGUUAACGUGUUAAGUGCACCGCCUGGGGAGUAUGCUCGCAAGGGUGAAACUCAAAGGAAUUGACGGGGGCCCGCACAAGCGGUGGAGCAUGUGGUUUAAUUCGAUUGUACACGAGGAACCUUACCAGGGCUUGACAUGUGCGUGAAUGUUCACGAGAGUGGGCAGCCCCGCAAGGGGCGCGCACACAGGUGCUGCAUGGCUGUCGUCAGCUCGUGUCGUGAGAUGUUGGGUUAAGUCCCGCAACGAGCGCAACCCUUACUGUCUGUUGCCAACAGGUUGUGCUGGGCACUCGGACGGAACUGCCGGUGACAAACCGGAGGAAGGUGGGGAUGACGUCAAGUCAUCAUGGCCCUUAUGUCCUGGGCUACACACGUGCUACAAUGGCAAGUACAAAGCGAAGCAAAACGGCGACGUCAAGCAAAUCGCAGAAAGCUUGUCUCAGUGCGGAUUGGAGUCUGAAACCCGACUCCAUGAAGUUGGAAUCGCUAGUAAUCGCGCAUCAGCAUGGCGCGGUGAAUACGUUCCCGGGCCUUGUACACACCGCCCGUC
Molecule: ribosomal RNA, 1203 nt
Filed under: metagenome
Description: bacterial SSU rRNA
Rfam family: Bacterial small subunit ribosomal RNA
Source: RNAcentral